Long non-coding RNA from Hevea brasiliensis (rubber tree), 1402 nucleotides. RefSeq lists it as uncharacterized. The record is from RefSeq and is a predicted model, not a curated record. The transcript has 2 exons. NCBI's taxonomy places the organism in Eukaryota, Viridiplantae, Streptophyta, Magnoliopsida, Malpighiales, Euphorbiaceae.
UGUGACCAACACGUGUAAUGAUGUGAAAUUAAUGCUAACAUGAUUCUUUUUAAUAUGGCCAUGUAUAUUAUUGUCAAGUAAGAUAUUGAAAAGAAAAAAUUGGGUAAAAUUAUUUUGACCCUAAAAGUAACCCUAGCAUCACAUAUCUCUACUAAUCAUCAAGAUCUAUCCAUAACCCAACCGUCACCAUGUCAAUCAGUCCUUCCUUUGGUGGCUGUCGAUCUAACAUCUUUGAUCCAUUCUUCCUCGAUAUCUAAGACUUAAGUAGACGAAUUCUCUUUCUUCUCCCUCACAGACACCGAUUGUUCCAACUUCUCUUUCUCCUUCUCGGUGGAAACCUCAUCUUUUUGUAAGUGCAUGAAUCGAUUGGAAGGAAAUGCCUACAGUCCAUAUUUUCAAAGCCGACAUUCUUUGUUCCUUUGUUAACAUGUUGAAAAGAAUAUCGGGAAAGAACCCGAGGAACCGAGUCGAGGCCAAGAGGCGACUCGCUUAAGGUUUGUGCACAACAUCACUAUGCUUUAAAAUGUGUUGAUAAAGUGAAUGAAAUAUGUAUUUUACAUUUGCUUGAAUUAUUGAGAAUUUAUUUGUGACAUUAGUUAUGAUGUUUUGACUUAAAUUGUUGGAAGUUAUUGUGUAUAUUUGAAAUGACAAUGUUUAACAAAUUGUUAAGAUAAGUUUUGAAACCACAGUAUCAUGACCAUAUAUUUGAACACCUCACUAGCAUGACUAGUGGGGGUAAUUAGUUUCAAAUUUUGAUUCCUUCUCUGGAGAAGUGUUGAGGUGUGCCAGUAGAAGAGGAUGUGAAUGGAUAUCCAUAUAUUUGAGCUAGCUAGCCUUGUGAUGUGAUUUCUCUUUAGCCUCUGGCUAUUGAGAUUCUAUUUGUUUCGAAUGGCAUGAUCUAACUGUGGGUUUUAUGAAAUGUGUUUUGAUACUUCGAAAUGAACGUGGUUUGCAUUAAAAUCUCAUAAUUCAUGUUUUGUGUUUAAUGCUCAUGUUUAGUCAAAAUUUUGAAUAAAUGUGAUUUAAGUUUUGCAUAAAGAUUAUUUUAGUAUGUUGUGCACCACUGAGUCCUAGUGCUCAGCGAUAGCUUCUAUUAACAUCAGAAUCUGAGAGACUAGAGGAGCAGCAGACUGAGCUGCUGACGUGUGAGGAGCUAUCAGCUUAAAGUCUUCGGGUAUAAUUUAUACCCUAACUGUAAAUAUUUCUUUUAAUGUAUAUAUUGCACAUAAAUGUAUAGACAUGUAAAAAAAUAGGUCUUGAGCAGUUUGUAUAAAAUUUGUAUAAAGUUGUAAUAUAUAUUGUAGUUUGAAAUUCUCUUAAUGUAAAUUUUGUAAUGAUCUAUUUAAAUUGUUUUGUUUCUAACGAAAUAUGAAUGGAACUAUUUUAUUUAAUUUGAAUGAAA